UGGGGAAUAUUGCACAAUGGGCGCAAGCCUGAUGCAGCCAUGCCGCGUGUGUGAAGAAGGCCUUCGGGUUGUAAAGCACUUUCAGCGGGGAGGAAGGCGGUGAGGUUAAUAACCUCAUCGAUUGACGUUACCGACAGAAGAAGCACCGGCUAACUCCGUGCCAGCAGCCGCGGUAAUACGGAGGGUGCAAGCGUUAAUCGGAAUUACUGGGCGUAAAGCGCACGCAGGCGGUUUGUUAAGUCAGAUGUGAAAUCCCCGGGCUCAACCUGGGAACUGCAUCUGAUACUGGCAAGCUUGAGUCUCGUAGAGGGGGGUAGAAUUCCAGGUGUAGCGGUGAAAUGCGUAGAGAUCUGGAGGAAUACCGGUGGCGAAGGCGGCCCCCUGGACAAAGACUGACGCUCAGGUGCGAAAGCGUGGGGAGCAAACAGG
RNAcentral lists this ribosomal RNA (429 nucleotides) under Chloroflexota bacterium. Its description in RNAcentral is "Chloroflexi bacterium partial 16S ribosomal RNA". It matches the Rfam family "Bacterial small subunit ribosomal RNA", at positions 355 to 776 of the family's 1533-position model. The record is from RNAcentral. Lineage: Bacteria; Bacillati; Chloroflexota.